RNAcentral lists this transfer RNA (72 nucleotides) under Ovis aries (sheep). It matches the Rfam family "tRNA". Rfam says of the family: Transfer RNA (tRNA) molecules are approximately 80 nucleotides in length. Their secondary structure includes four short double-helical elements and three loops (D, anti-codon, and T loops). Lineage: Eukaryota; Metazoa; Chordata; Mammalia; Artiodactyla; Bovidae. The record is from Rfam by way of RNAcentral.
UCCCUGGUGGCUCAGAGGUUAAAGUGUCUGCCCGCAAUGCAGGAGACCCGGGUUCGAUCCCUGGAUUGGGAA